RNAcentral lists this long non-coding RNA (4373 nucleotides) under Olea europaea (common olive). RNAcentral describes it as "long non-coding RNA (OEUR_LNC007437)". Lineage: Eukaryota; Viridiplantae; Streptophyta; Magnoliopsida; Lamiales; Oleaceae. The record is from RNAcentral.
UCAGCAUGAGACCUGAGUACGUUUGUUCGCUCCAUUUGGUACUACAUAAUGAGAAAAAAAGACUUCAAUACUCAUUUAGAACAUUUAUAUUGCAAAAAAUACUUAACUAUAUAAAAGGUACAUUUGCAAACCUUGAUUCUCAUUUUCAAUAAAUUCAACUGCAGAAAUACUUGUGCUAAGGAGAGCAUCAGAUGUCGACAUGUGUCGAGGCUGAGAGUAUGUGCUUCUGUAUCUUUGAAUGCCUUCAUACCAAUCGGAUUCCCCAUAUGGAAAGAGUAAUGGAUAUUGCAACGGAUCAUAACACCUAUAAUAGUAAUGAACUCUAUGUGAAUCACCAGAAUGUCCAUAGAUAGUAAUAUGAUGAACAUGAACAUCAGCAUUUUCAUUGUCUUUAACCCAUAUAGCAGCUAUUUGAGAUGCUAUAGGAGUAUUGAAAACUCUUUAAUCAAGUCCAGGAUCGCAUCAUAUUUGUAUUCGAUGGUCAUGCAAGUUCGUCAUAUCACUUAAAGACCUAAAGAAUUUACUAUAUGGAUUUGUUUUCAAAAUUUCAAUUAAAACAAUCAAAGUAGGUUCAGUAAAAUUAGAUGAUAUUUUCAUACGAUUUUGAACUUCAUUAUUUGUAUCGUAAAAAUAUAGUUGCAUAUAAGAAGACUUAUUGUUCUGGGGCACAAGUUGAUUUAUAUAAUGAUGUACUUGUUCUUGAACCCUAAAUGUGUAAAUACCUUUAUACGCUUUAAAGAAGUCUUUGUCGUAUUUCACACCAAAUGAAGUGAAAGAAAAUGGUUAUUAUAUCCCCUUACAAUUUUAUUGAAUUCCAUGCAGCUCAAUUCUUUAGAGGUAAAUAAAUUAUAUAAUUCACUUGGUGAGUCAGGUACUGAUAAGUGUGUUUUUACACACUUAUUUAGCUCACAAAUAUGACUUAAACAUGAACAAAGUAGUUGAAUUGUGACUAAAUCUCGUUAAAUUCAUGCAAUGUAGGUGUUUCUAUGGAAAAGAUGGAAUUCAGAAGAAAAGAGCCGAAAUGACCAAAACGGAACAAAGCGAUAGUUCGAGGACCAAAGGUGCAAAUAUUGGGAAGUUGAGCUAAAGUGCAGAACGAGAAUGAAAAUACACCAAGUAUGAGAUUGAGGACGAUACAAGACGAUCGGAGGAAGAAAGAAGUAACAUUGGACUGAAUUGAAGAAAAGUGAAAGAUGAAGAACUAAAUUGCAAUUAAUCAAAAGAUGAGCCGAGCAAGUAAUCAAGGAAUUGAUUGACCCAAACAUCAAUUAGGAGUCAAUAUUUGAUAAUGAAACAAAGGAAAGAAAGAAAAGAGAUCAAGAAAAGAGAAAACGGAUUUCAGGGAUCAAAAUAGCAACGUUGUAAAGUUACUAACUUGCGGCCGCACAUGAGGAGGCAGGGAUAUUAUUGAGGUAGAUCACUUGAACCAUGUGGUCGCAUGGUUUAACACCAUGUGGCCGCAUGGCUUUAAAAUUCGAAGAAAAUUCUGAACUUCCGUUUUCAAUUGAAACUCUUUCGGGACUCCGUAAGGACAUGAUAUAAAAGCUAAAAUUCAUCAGAGAUAGGGCAGAACGUCCAGGGAUAAGAAAAAUAUAACUUUUGGAGGCAAGAAACACGAUCUUGAAGCCGAUUCCACAAGAAUUCAAGCGGGUUUUCAAGGUUUUGUUCAAGAUUUCAAGAAUUUUCAUACGGGUGCUGUUCUUUCUAUUUAUUAAUUUCAUUUUUUUCUGUAAUUAUGAAUAUUCUAGGCUAGGUUUUCAAUUAUUAGGUGAUCGAUGAACCAUUGUUUGUUAUUUUAAUUCCAUAUUUCAUGAAUUUAAUAUAAAGACUCGUUUAGAUAAUUUGAUUGAUUUAUAUGCAUUGAUUUUCUUCCGCAAUUAGUGGCCAAUGAUUGUGUGAGUGUUGAUGACUUAUUGCUUACAUUCAAGAGAAGUGGAAUAGGUUCGAUAAGGUGUAAAUAAACAUAAGGUCCGAUAGGGGAUAGAGAUAUACCCCUAUGCUUUAUGCAAUUCUUUAAUUGUUCACAAAAUCACAUGCAUUCUUAUAUAUUUGCAUCAUCCAUAGAGAUAUAGGCUAGUGGUGUGCAAGAAUAGGUCUAAUAUAUAUUGAGAGAAUAUACUGGAUAGAAUUAGGAACAUUGAAUUGGCAAAUUUCCAUCGGGUCAUUAAUUUUAUGAAAGUAGGGUUUUCAUAACUUCAAUUGGGGAUUCGUGAUCCUAGUGACUUUAGUUUGAUUCAUUUCCAUAAAUUAGCUUUUGAAUUUGCAUAAUUUCAUUUACUUGAGUGUUUGAAUCGUUUAAUUAGAGAAAUUUCGAAAUUAGGGUUUCUAAUUGAGAAAUUAGGGUUUUUAGUUGAAAUUAGGGUUUUUAAUUGAAAUUAGGGCUUUUUUCAUUUAGACCAUAUUUUCACUCAAUUAGAUUCGGUUAAAGCUAGAUUAUAUAGAAUUGAACUACUCAAUCUCUGAGGGACGAUAUUCGGACUUUUUAAAAUCCAGUUUAUUACUUGUUACGAAUCGUACACUUGCAGUAAUUUUAAAUCGAAAUAAUUAUUUCGUGAAUAGGUACGAAAAGCUUGAUUUUUCCAUCAGAACAACAAAAACCUUUAGUUUCUCUAUAAAAUUUAUGGGCAUUACAAUAGAUGGGUGUUGGUAAUAUAUAAGUAGUAGAUGUCAUGUUCAAUCCAUUAAGAGUUCCUUCUAAUUCAAAAUCACAAAUAUAAUGUAUUUGUUUAUUUGAAGUAGAAGCAUUAGGAUCGUGAUGCAUUAUAGAUUCAUGCAAUUGGGGAACAACAAAAGAAUUAUUUCCCGAAUUUAUAGGCUCAUUUAUCCUUUUACGCUGAUCAAUACACCGAGUUCUAAGUCUUUUUCACCGAUCUCUUUCUCUUUGACUUUGUUGUUGACGAAUGGAGGUAUUGUAUGAGUCUUUCCCACAAUUAGAUACAAUGUUAAUGUUCACAAAAGCAGGGUCUUCAUGAGCAGAUGUUUCUAAAAUAUCCAUCGCAAGAGUGGAAGAGACUAUUGUAUAUUGGAAUUCCAAGAUAAGCAGUACAAACAAGAAAAUGAAAUAAAAACUAUUAGAAAAUUUGUUUCAUAUGCAUGUAGGAAGAGUAAACAAUAGAAUAUGUAACAGUGCAUAUUGUGUAAAAAUGUAAUAAUUACAUAACAUGAAUUGCAGUCUCUAUAAAUACAACCCGUAGAAUAAAAAUUUGAACAAAAAGAUUAACAACAACAAUGUGAUUCUGAAAAAAAAAUAUUAAUGUUGGACAAAAAAUGAUGAAAACAAAUAUUCAAGAAAGUAAAAUGAUGCAUUUAUAGAAAUAGACGGAGUUUAAUCAUUCGUUUCCAUGCAUAGGUUGCAUUUCUAAUACUCUAAUAGUAUUCCUAAACAAUUCUUUUUUUGGGAGCAUAGUUUUGUCAUCCUUUCCAAAAGCCUAGAUACAUAAUAGUAUAUUGUUAUCAUAUAAACUUAAACUAAAAUAAAAAGUUAAAUAAUCUUUUUAUCAAGACAAUCUUUUUAUGAAAAUUCUACUUCUCUUUGAGAUAACUGAUAAAUAAAAGCAUAAGAAAUAAUAAAAUGUAUUAACUCCAGAAAUGUUCCUAAAUAAAAAAAUAAAUUUGAUAAUUUAAGUGUAGAAUGUGAGCGCAUGUGUCAAUAUGCUCAAAAAUCGUACAAUCUGGAAACUUUUGAACUCUUUCCCAUUGUUAGUCUUCUCACCCCAAAAUUCUCACACCAAGAAAACAAACAAGAAUUAGGCAAUCAAAGCAAAAUCCAAAGUCACAAAAGUCCAAAUCCUUUCACUUAAACACUGUGAAAUAAGAUCAAUAAUUAAUAAAAGAAUCAAAGCUUUUGAAUUUGAAUUCUUUGUUCUGAACCAAACCCAGAAAAUGGCUUUUCCAAGAUUCUUCAUUUUCCUUCUUUUGAUUGCAUUUGCACCUAUUUUGAUAAAACUCAGGUGUGGAAAUGCAAAAUUGAGAGCAUUAAUGGAUAUAAAAUCAUCUUUGGACCUAGAAAAUAAGUGCUUAUCAUCUUAGGUCAGUGAAGGGAUCCACGCAGUGGAAAAUUUGAAGGUGUGGCAUGUAAUAAGCACAAGAAAGUAAGGGCUCAUCGGAAAAGUGUCGUCGGCGGUGUCGAAGCUCAAGUGUGUGCCCGGUGACUAUUGAGAGAGAGAGAGAGAGAAAUUAGGUUGAAGAGAAAACAGUAGAAGCCCGCUCGUUGCUUUUGCCCAAGUUCGACGAGUCGGUAGCACCAAAUCGGACAACAAAGAAGGGAGUCGGCUACUGGCAGGGUUUCUUUGUUAAUAAGUAAUAGAAUUAACAAUGAGGAAGAUAUUUUGGAUAAAUAGUGUAGAACUAGUUAGAAACAGGUCCAAUGUGAA